Molecule: long non-coding RNA, 3502 nt
Organism: Amborella trichopoda
Lineage: Eukaryota; Viridiplantae; Streptophyta; Magnoliopsida; Amborellales; Amborellaceae
Source: RefSeq, a predicted model, not a curated record
GCUCAUAGGGUUAUACUAAAAUGUAAGUGUUUGCAUAAGUGCUGUAUGUGUGCGCAUACUAGUUGGUGUGGGGUACAUAUGGAUGAAUGUGCCCCCUGUUAUGUUAUUUUAGAAAUGGAAAUUCGUGAUAAAUUUUCAUUGCAGAGAGUAUAUGAAUGCGGGUUUAUGGGGUUACACUGAAAUGCAAUUGUUUAUAUAAGUACGGUGUGUGCGUGCGUACUAGUUGGUGUGAGGUACAUAUGGAUGAAUGUGCCCCUUGUUACGUUAUUGUUCGGGAAAUUCGUGAAAAAUUUUCAUUGCAGAGAGUAUAUGAAUGCGGGUUCAUGGGGUUAUACUGAAAUGCAAAUGUUUGUAUAAGUGUGGUGUGUGCGUGCGUACUAGUUGGUGUGAGGUACAUAUGGAUGAAUGUGCCCCCUGUUGUGUUAUUUUUAGAAAUGGAAAUUCGUGAUAAAUUUUCAUUGCAGAGAAUAUAUGAAUGCGGGUUCAUGGGGUUAUACUAAAAUGUAAUCUAGUUUGUUGCUUAAAUAUGAGUAUAGUUAUGUUAUUCUUUUGUGACAUUUGUAAUAUAGUGUUUUGAUAGAACAACUCAAUUGAUUUUUUUAGAUAAUAUUUGCAAUCAUCUACAUAUGUGGUUUGGCUUUUUAUGUAGGGUCAGUUGAAAGAUUUAUAUGGACCCCACCAUAUAUGUCGGUGCAACAUCUUCCCUAUGCCCAAAUGACACGAUUGCGACCAUGGAGCAGGUUCCUUAUCUUACAGAAAUGCGAGAUGGGAACAUGGCUCAUCAACCAAGGGCCUACAAAUAGAAGAACCAUAUAUAGGGAUGAAGUUUGGUUAUGAGAAUGAGGCAUAUGAGUAUUAUAAGGAGUAUGCAUUAGCCAAAGGUUUUGGCGUCCAUAAGGGGACUACCCACAAUAAAGAUGGUCAAAGGAUUGAUAGAGAGCUCAAUUGUUCUAUGGAAGGGUUUCGUCGAGAGAACAAUCGGGUAGGUGAAAAGGUACACCCUAAAUCAAGGUGUGGUUGUAUGGCUAGGAUGGGCCUAAGUAGAAAUGCAAAUAAUGAGUGGGUUGUGACUAGGAUUAUUACGAAACACAAUCACGAUCUUUUGUCUCCAAGAAAAGCUCGUUUAAUUCGCUCACAUCGAACAUUGUCAGGCGUUGCAAAGUUGAUGAUAGGUUCAAUUAGGUCAGCAUUGGUGAAGGCCAGAAAUAUUCAUGACAUUUUUAUAGAGUAAUCUGGAGGGAUUGAUAAUGUUUAUUGUACACAAAAAGACAUCCAAAAUGAAAUUUCCAACUCCAAAUAAAAACUGAGAGGAGAAGAUGGAAGUCUUGUUAUGCAAUGGCUUUAUAAAAUGAAAGAAUUGAACCCAUCUUUUUUUUAUAAAGUGAAAUUAGAUGAAGAUAAUCACAUCCUGAGAGUCUUAUGAGUAGAUGCCUUUUCUAGAGUUUCGUACUAGUGCUUCUCUGAUGUGGUAACUUUUGAUACAACAUACAAAACAAACACCUACGGUAUGCCAUUUGCACCCAUUCUUGGUGUAAAUCCCCAUCACAGUUGGAUUUGCACUAAUUUUUAAUGAGAAUGUCGAAUCAUUUGUAUGGAUAUUUGAAAAUUGUUUAGAAGCUAUGGGGGGACGUCAGCCUGGAGUUAUUCUCACUGAUCAAGACCCUGCAAUUUCGAAUGUAGUGAGACAAGUUUUAGACCAAAGUAAGCAUCAUUCUUGUAAGUGGCAUAUCUUUACCAAAAAUUAAAGAAAAAAUGUGCCAUGUCUUGUGCAUGCAUCCAAAAGUUUCAGAGACCUUCAGGAGGUGUGUGGCUAGUGCAACAGUGGAAGAAUUUGAAUUGGGGUGGAAAAAUAUGAUUGAGAAUUAUGGCCUGGAAAGUAAUGAGUGGAUUGCUAGGCUCUAUAGUUGUCGCAUGCAAUGGGUCGAUGCAUACUUGAGUGACACGUUUACAGCAGGUAUGAGUUCCACUCAAAGGAGUGAAGAGAUGAAUAAGCACUUCAAGAUGUACGUAGCCUCUUCAACAAGCUUACGUACAUUGUUAGAGGUGACGACAAAGGUGCAAGAUAAGAAGGUAUGAAAGGAAAGGGAAAAUGAAUUAAGAGAUAUUGAUACUACUCCAAUAUUAAGAACAACUUCUUUUAUUGAGGCCCCAGCAGCAAAGAUCUAUACUCAAAAGAUUAUGAAGCUAUUGGGAGAAGAGGUGCUGAAUUGUAUUAAUUUGAUGAGUGAGCCAAUUGAGGACAACAGAUUGCUUGCCACUUUUAAGGUGGCAAUACCAAGAAGCUAAUCUAGACCCUACUUGGUUGAAUUCAAUUCCAAUGACAAUAGCGUUUGUUGCAGUUGUCACUUAUAUGAGAGGAUGGGUCUUCUUUGUAGGCAUGUGUUGAAGGUUUUUAUGGUGAAGAAUGUAUUUGAAAUACCCCCACAAUACAUAAUGAGGCGUUGGAGAAAGGAUAUAAAAAAUGGGGUUUUUAUCGAUGAGAGUGGCAAUCAAAUUCAAGAAACAUCUCAACUACCACGCUCCAUUCGAUAUAAUGAGGUCUAUCAGGCAACUCGAUACCUCGCCGAGCAUGCAUCAGAGAGUGCAGAGCUCCAUGAAUUUAUAAUGGCCAUAAUAAACAGCGGAAUUUGUCAGGUUGAUCGCCGAUUCGGGCGUAAGGGAGGUCCACAGCAUGAUGCCACAAUCAAUUGUAAUGCUGAAGAGUAUGGUAACGUUGAAGCAAAUGCUAAUAUCGACGAGAAUGCAGCUAGUUGUAGUGACACACCAAUUGAAAGUGAACAUUGCCAAAAUAUUCUUGAGCCUCUAUGAGCACGAAAAAGGGAAGACUAACCAAUAAAAGAAAGAAAGCUCAAUCAGAAGAGUGGAAGCCGCAAGAAAACACCAAUAAGUCGAAGGAAAAGACCAGGAAGUGUGCAGUGUGCAAGGGCAAUGGGCACGACAAAAGAAAUUGUUCGUCAUUCAUUCGUGCAAAGUGUUGAAAACUAUUCAGUUCAAAUAGAGGUUCUCAUGGGAUGUAGGCUGGUGUUCCGUCAAAUUUUCCCAACCAAUAGCAGAACAACUUGGAGCAUCAUGCUCCAAAGAAUUCGAUGCAGCAGUCACUCAUGUGGUUUUGCUCGAUUUAGGGACUGAGAAGGCUCAUUGGGCUAUAUAGCGAAAGAGUGAAGGAGGAUCUUAAUUCAUAGUUUUUUCUUUAGUAUUUUUUUGGGAUGAAACAUGAUUGAUCCAUUUUACACAAUCUCUUUAUAAAAUGAUUGUGCUUUAUCUAAAGGUAAUGUAGGAAUUUUGAAGAGAUAUAGUUUACGUGGGUAUGUGUAACCCUUUUUGGGUUUUCUUGGAUUUCAUUAGUUUUGUUUGCUCAAUGGAUGUGGUGCUUUGAGAUGAUGGGAAUGUGUAAGUUUGAAGGGACUAAUGAAAACAAAAGUGGGGAUGUUGGAUUACAUCAGUUUGUAAUUGCAAAAGUAUUGCUUAAUGAUGAUGCAUACACCAGUACAUUAGAAUGUGA